GACGAACGCUGGCGGCGUGCUUAACACAUGCAAGUCGAGCGGUAAGGCCCUUUCGGGGGUACACGAGCGGCGAACGGGUGAGUAACACGUGGGUGACCUGCCCUCAGCUCUGGGAUAAGCCUGGGAAACCGGGUCUAAUACUGGAUAUGACUCCAUGACGCAUGUUGUGGGGUGGAAAGCCUUGUGCGGCUGAGGAUGGGCCCGCGGCCUAUCAGCUUGUUGGUGGGGUGANGGCCUACCAAGGCGACGACGGGUAGCCGGCCUGAGAGGGCGACCGGCCACACUGGGACUGAGAUACGGCCCAGACUCCUACGGGAGGCAGCAGUGGGGAAUCUUGCGCAAUGGGCGAAAGCCUGACGCAGCGACGCCGCGUGAGGGAUGACGGCCUGG
RNAcentral lists this ribosomal RNA (390 nucleotides) under uncultured bacterium. RNAcentral describes it as "bacterial SSU rRNA". It matches the Rfam family "Bacterial small subunit ribosomal RNA", at positions 28 to 419 of the family's 1533-position model. The record is from RNAcentral.